UGCUCUUCCUUCGCUGUGGUGUCAAGUCCC
Molecule: non-coding RNA, 30 nt
Filed under: Homo sapiens (human)
Lineage: Eukaryota; Metazoa; Chordata; Mammalia; Primates; Hominidae
Source: RNAcentral